CGGCAGCGUGCGUGAAGGCAGGGGAGUCUGUAGCCCUAUUAUGUUUUUCUUCUUUCAACGAUGGACUCAGGACCCCGGCACCACCACCACAGCCCCGCCUUAUCCACUGCCGGCAUUCACAAACGGGCAGCGGCGCGCUUGCCGCGGCGUCCGCUCCGCCCGAGCCCUGUAAUUGGGCGAGGCGUCGCGGCGGCGUUCCUGCACGCCUUGUCGGCCUUGGAGCUAGCCUUGGCGGGGGCGGGCCGAGGCGUCGCGGCGGAGGACGAUAAGCAGACGAGCACGCGCCGCCGGCGCGUUUGCCGUGGGCGUCCGCUACGCCCGAGCCCAGGAGUGGGGCGAGGGGUCGCGCCGGCGUUCCUACGCGCCUUGUCGCCCUUGAAGCUGGCCUUGGCGGACCGAGGCGUCGCGGCGGAGGACGACAAGGCGGCCGACGUGCUCUGUUGGGGCCACGCGUCGCGGCGCUCCGGCUCCAGCAGAUGACGGCAGAGAGCCAGGUGUGGCUUUGUGUCGCCAACAGCCACGAGGUCAUCGGCACCGGCCACCGUGCCAGGCUGGACCAGCUGCUGCAGCCCCCCUGCGCCGUCGCCGUCGCCGUGGCAGAAGAAGCGCGAGUUCCCCCUCGCUAUCGGAGGCUGGGUGUCGUUCUCCAGUGCAGAUUGUCUAAUUGAGUUUCUGAAAGCGUCGUCCACGUCUGCACUUCAUGGGUCCAUACACUGGGAACUCACGCCUGAGAACUUCCUGCUCACCAGAUUGGUUUCAGUUUCUCUGUCUCCAUCGAAGAAGUGGCAAGCAUGGUUAGGGCGAGCAACGAGGGUUCCUGUAGUGCAUAACCAUUUCAAGUCGCCCAAGUUCUAAAGAGAGAUCAGAAGUGCCAGCUACUGAAGCAAAAAAAAGGACCUGAUACACAUUGUAAUCAUGGACUGCUGAUAUACCUGAUGCAUUUCUUCAUGAUGGUCGAUUUCCUUUCACCGGAUCUUACAUGUUUAAUUAUGUGUGCUCGGAACCAAAAACUGAUUGAGAUCUUCAGUUCUUACUUGCAGAUGUUCUGUUAUUCAGAGUGAUAUUCCUUGGUUGCAGCUGACGCUAAAAAAAAUUACUCCUGAAGCACUAGAAGUGCCCUCUCUAUGGUGCAUCACUCACUGGAUCCAGAUGGGCAACAUUCCGCUUCAAGAUUAAAGAGUACAGUUUUUGCAUGCUAUCAUUGCUUAUCCAAGAGUAAUCUACCAUGUGCCUAAUUGUUAUGACCGGCCAGGUCUAUGGCCGCCGCAGGCCUAACAGGCAGGCGUAGGCCAGCAAGUUACCUUAGUUUUAUUCAGAUUAGGCAAGUUAUCUCAGGAUUGAUUCUUCUACAAGUUAUCUAGGAUAUAAAUAUAGAUUGUAAGACUCUUUUGGAUGGAAGCAAUAAAGACUAUUAUUAUCUUUUGUUGCCCGGCUCCUAGAGGAGCCGGAAACCCUAGCCGCCGCAACCUAGCCGCCACCGCCCUCAACCCUAGCCGCGACGGCGCCCUGCCGCCGGCACGCCCGCUCCUCGCCGCGCCCACUUCCUCUUUGCCCCUACAACCUACGCAGUAGAGCCGGUAGGAACCCUAGUCCUACCAAUUUGGUAUUCAGAGACCACGUUGUGAUCAUGUCGAUGCCGCCAUCACCGCCGCCGCUGCCCGUCGGCACCACCGCGCCCAUGACGACGGCGCCAAGCAUCACCGCGCCGACCACAUCCGUCGGGACCUCGCUGGCGUGUCCCGUCUCCUCCUCGGCACCACCUGCACCGGCGUCUCCGGGCGCAUCUCCACCACCACCGCUGGCCGCCUUGUCUCCGGAGCAACUCGCCGCCACGCUACAUCACCUCGUCACCGUCGUCCACUGGCUUCAGCUCCACCAGCAAUAUAGGGCCGGGGCCUAUGCUCAACCACCAUCGGGCCCGAUCGCCGCCCCUGGUCUUCUCCUACAGCAGCAGCCGCAGUACGGGGGCGGGGCGAGCCCCUUCGCGCCACCACCAGGACCGUACCAGGGCGCGGCCGCGUACGGCGGGCCGCUGUUCGGGCCGAUCCAGGCGAGAUUGGCAUCCGGGCCAGCGCCGGCCGCGACGCCCCUCUGGCCUUUGCCGCCGGCCACCUCGGCCGCCUCCUAGCUGCAGCAGCUGCCGCCCACCGUCUGGCCGGUUCAGCAGAUGCCGUUCCCCGCAUGGCCGGCCCAGCAGCCGCCGCCGACGGCGUCCCAGGGCCUGCGUCCACCGCCAUUCUCUGCGCCCUCAUCAGCCGGGACCACCUCGGGCGCGGCCUCGACUAUCGGGUUACCGAUCCAUCAGGUCCAGUUUCCCCCGUCCCCGUCCCCCCUGCCAGCAUGGGCGGCGGGGUCUUCGCCUUCACCGGUCUACUCCACGACCCCGGUUGAGCCGACUCCGUUUUCGCAGUUCGGCGGGCCAUCCGGCCCCGCCGGCCAGUACCCGGACUACUCCGAUCAGGCACCUCCGGCUUCACUCUUCCGAGCCCCCGCGCCUGCUCAGCACGGCGGGCCGCAGGAGACACCGCCGCUGUUCACCAAACUCGACUUCGCCACCUAUGAGGGCACGGAUGACCCCCUCAACUGGCUCAACCAGUGCGAACAGUUCUUUCGAGGGCAGCGGACACUCGCUUCAGAUCGUACCUGGCUCGCGUCCUAUCAUCUUCGAGGCGCAGCACAGACCUGGUACUACGCCCUCGAGCAGGACGAGGGCGGCAUGCCACCGUGGGAGCGCUUCCAGGAGCUCUGUCUUCUCCGUUUUGGGCCUCCUAUCCGCGGGAGCCGACUGGCGGCCCUCUGCCGUUUACCAUUCACAUCUACGGUGCAGGACUACGCCGAUCGCUUCCAGGCCCUGGCAUGCCACGCGCCGGGCGUCUCCGCGACCCAGCGCGCCGAGCUCUUUGUGGGCGGUCUGCCGGACCAUAUCCGCGUGGACGUCGAGCUCCGGGAUCCCCCCGAUCUCCAGACGGCCAUGUACUACGCCCGGGCCUUCAAGCAGCGGGCCCAGGCACUGCAGCCGCCACUCGGACGGAGUGGCCGCCAGCCCAGUCGGCCAGCACCGACUUCCUCAGCCCCGGGUCGGCCUCUCCCAUCCGCGACGGCCACAUCCCCGGCUGCCACACGGCCCUUCCGUCGGCUGUCACCGGCCGAGCAGCAGGAGCGUCGCAGUCAGGGUCUCUGCUUCAACUGCGAUGAGCCCUAUACGCCGACCCAUGUCUGCCCCCGCCUCUUUUAUUUAGAGACGGUCGACUACACCGAGGAGAACGACUCGCCCGAUCCGUUACAUCCGCCUGCGGCGCCCGAGGACGCGGCCGCGGAUUCCGCAGCGACGGCGUGCAUCGUCUCCCUUCAUGCCCUGGCCGGCAUCCGGGGCGAGCAGACCAUGCUGCUGCCGGUGACGAUCCAUGGUGAGCGCCUGGUGGCCCUGCUAGAUACGGGCUCCACACACAACUUUCUGUCCGAAUCGACCAUGCGUCGGCUAGCCCUCCCGACGACGGGCGGGGAGCGCCUGCGGAUCACAGUGGCGAACAGUGAUCGCCUCCGGUGCCAUGGGCUAGCCCGCGACGUUCCCAUCUCCAUCAGCGACGAACACUUUUCCAUCACUUGUGCAGGGAUCGAUCUCGGCUGCUUCGACUUCAUCCUCGGGGUGGACUUUCUCCGGACCCUCGGCCCCAUCCUAUGGGAUUUCGACGCACUCAUGAUGACAUUCUGGCGGCAGGGACGCCGCAUCCGGUGGGAGGGCAUUGGGGGCGCCGCGGCUGCCGUGCCACAUCUCCAGCUUGCUGCCGCGUCCUUGGAGGUUGAGCACCCCCUACUGGAUUCUCUUCUAGAGCAGCACAACGACCUCUUCGACGCUCCGCGGGGUCUUCCGCCUGCCCGGGUGUACGACCAUCAUAUUCACCUCGUACCAGGCUCCACUCCGGUGGCGGUACGGCCCUACCGCUACCCCCAGCUGCAGAAGGAUGAGUUGGAGCGCCAGUGUGCCCUGAUGCUCGCCGCAGGCAUCAUCCGGAUCUCCACGUCACCCUUCACGGCGCCGGUGCUUCUCGUCCGUAAGUCCGACGGCACAUGCCGCUUCUGCAUCGACUACCGCGCCCUCAACGCACUCACGCUCAAGGACAAGUUCCCUAUACCGGUGGUCGACGAGCUCUUGGAUGAGAUCCAUGGGGCACGCUUCUUCACCAAGCUCGAUCUUCGGUCGGGCUAUCAUCAGGUGCGCAUGCAUCCGGACGACAUCGCCAAGACGGCGUUUCGCACCCACCAUGGCCACUUCGAGUUCUUGGUGAUGCCUUUCGGCCUCGCCAACGCCCCGGCGACUUUCCAAGCCCUGAUGAACGACGUCCUUCGACCCUACUUACGGCGGUUUGUGCUUGUUUUCUUUGAUGACAUUCUUAUCUACAGCGCCACCUGGGCCAAACAUCUCCAGCACGUCGCCAUCGUCUUCAACGAGUUUCGGGCGCACCACCUCCACCUUAAGCGCUCAAAGUGCUCGUUCGGGACACCUACCGUCGCCUACCUCGGCCAUGUCAUCUCGGCCGACGGAGUGGCUAUGGACGCCGAUAAGGUGGCGGCCGUCUCCGCCUGGCCGACGCCUUACUCACCGCGGGCUCUCCGCGGGUUCCUCGGACUCGCUGGCUACUACUGGAAAUUUAUCCGGGAGUUCGGACUCAUCGCGGCGCCCCUCGCGUGGUUGCUUCGCCGCGAUGCCUUCGCCUGGGACGCUGAGGCGACGACGGCAUUCGAGGCCCUCAAGGGGGACCUCACGACGGGCCCCGUCCUCCAGAUGCCCGACUUCGACCGUCCGUUCGUGGUGGACUGUGACGCCUCGGGCGCCGGGUUCGGCGCAUUACUUCAUCAGGGCGAUGGGCCCCUCGCCUUCUUCAGCCGGCCUUUCGCUCCGCGCCAUCUUAAGUUGGCCGCUUACGAGCGGGAGCUCAUUGGCCUCGUCCAGGCCGUGCGUCAUUGGCGGCCAUACUUGUGGGGGCGGACCUUCCACAUUCGCACGGACCACUACAGCCUGAAGUUCUUGCUGGAUCAACGGCUGUCGACCGUACCGCAGCACCAGUGGAUCAGCAAGCUCUUCGGCUUCGACUUCUUCGUCGAGUAUCGGUCGGGCCGUCUUAACACCUUGGCCGACGCGCUAUCCCGUCGCGAUUCCGACCUCGCGCCAACCGCCGACGCGUCCGCCGGGACGGCCCUGUGCAUCCGCUUCAGGCCAUCGUUCGGUCUCUUCACCGACAUUCGACGCGCCACUGCGACGGCCGAUGACGCCGCACUUCUUCAGCAGCAGCUUGCGGUCAGCGACUUGGAGGAGCCCUGGCGCUUCUCUGACGGACUGCUCCUGCAUGGACACCGGAUCUUUGUUCCGGCGCAUGAUGAUCUCCGUCACCAGGUGUUGCAGCUCGCUCACUCGGCGGGCCAUGAGGGUGUGCAGAAAACCCUCCAUCGUCUUCGCGCCGACUUCUACAUCCUUGGCGAUCGUGCCCUGGUCCGCGACUGGGUUCGGUCUUGUCAGACUUGCCAGCGCAACAAGACAGAAACCCUGAGACCGGCGGGGCUCCUUCAGCCCUUGGAGGUGCCGUCUCAGGUUUGGGCGGAUAUCUCCUUGGACUUCAUCGAGGGCCUUCCCAAGGUAGGGGGCAAGUCAGUCAUCCUCACGGUGGUCGAUCGCUUCUCUAAGUAUGCCCACUUCAUCGCGUUGGGCCAUCCGUACACAGCGGCAUCCGUGGCCCGGGCUUUCUUCAACGGCAUAGUCUGUCUACACGGGUUCCCGAUGUCGAUCGUCAGUGAUUGGGACCCAAUCUUCACGGGCCAUGUCUGGCGCGACCUCUUCAGGAUGGCGGGUGUCCAGCUCCGCCUGAGUAUGGCGUUCCAUCCUCAGAAUAACGGUCAGUCUGAGGUGGUUAACAAGGUCAUUGCCAUGUAUUUGCGUUGUGUGACAGGUGAUCGACCUCGCGCUUGGGUGGACUGGCUAUCUUGGGCGGAGUACUGCUACAACACUUAUUAUCACUCCACCCUGCGCGCGACGCCAUUUGAGGUGGUCUAUGGUCGACCACCCCCGCCUAUACUUCCGGUCGACCCGGAGACGGCUCGGACAGCAGUAGCGGGUGACCUUAUCUGCACCCGUGAUGAGAUGCUGGCUGAGGUCCGUCAGCGUCUCCUUCAGGCCCAGCAGACGGCCAAGCACUACUACGACGAUCAUCAUCGCGAGGCGGAGUUCGCAGUGGGUGACUGGGUGUGGCUGCGUCUUCUCCACCGCUCUACGCAGUCACAGGACCCGCAGGCAAAGCGCAAGCUUGGCCCUCGCUACGCCGGGCCCUUCCCUAUCAUGGAGCGCAUUGGGAAGGUGGCCUAUCGUCUUCAGCUUCCAGCCCGCGCCCGCAUCCACGACGUGUUCCAUGUGGGGCUGCUCAAACCUUUCCGUGGCGAGCCACCGGCGGCUCCUCCGACGCUUCCUCCAACCGCCGAUGGUCGCAUUCUUCCAGAGCCAGCAAAGGUGUUGCAGGCUCAGCUCCGUCGUGGCGUCUGGUUCAUCCUAAUUCAGUGGGCGGGCCUUCCGGAGGAAGAGGCGACUUGGGAGCAGCGUGAGGAUUUCCGUCAAAACUAUCCAGACUUUCAGCUCGAGGACGAGCUGUUUGCGCAGGCGGGGAGAGAUGUUAUGACCGGCCAGGUCUAUGGCCGCCGCAGGCCCAACAGGCAAGCUUAGGCCCGCAAGUUACCUUAGUUUUAUUCAGAUUAGGCAAGUUAUCUCAGGAUUGAUUCUUCUACAAGUUAUCUAGGAUAUAAAUAUAGAUUGUAAGACUCUUUUGGAUGGAAGCAAUAAAGACUAUUAUUAUCUUUUGUUGCCCAGCUCCUAGAGGAGCCGGAAACCCUAGCCGCCGCAACCUAGCUGCCACCGCCCUCAACCCAAGCCGCGACGGCGCCCUGCCGCCGGCGCGCCCGCUCCUCGCCGCGCCCACUUCCUCUUUGCCCCUACAACCUACGCAGUAGAGCCGGUAGGAACCCUAGUCCUACCACUAAUAUAUAUACAUGAUUGUUGCACCAUCACAAGAUUUCCAUUAUAUACAUGGGCAUAACUUUCUUUUACUGUGAAUUAAUCGACACGAUGCUUGUGUUUUAAGGAAUGGCAAUGCUAAAUUCUACAGUGGUACACUCUACUCUGUCGAAUGUUUACAAACACCACAAAGCUAGAGAUCUAUUGUGGAAACCUUUCUUUCUUUUGUUUGUUAUAACUUCUUAGUGUAAAAAUAAAUAUGGCUUGUCCAUUACGAAACAAAUAUGUAAGAUUUAUUACUUUUCAAAGUUGAAUUGUUCCUGACAAUUACACAUGAGAGUGCAUAUAAUUCAGUUGUGCUGACUUGCUGUUUCUAAAAUGAUAAGCUGGAGCUGGAGUUACAUAUGAGAGUACAGAUAAUUAAGUUGUGCUCCUGACUUGAUUAACAAAAGCUGCAGAAGAAAGGGACAAAAUACCAAAAAGCUGAAAAUUUGAAGAAAGGUGGAAGUAGGGAACUACCCAACUUGAUUCAAGAUUACGAAGGGAAAAAGGGCAUUGAUUGAGCAGGAGAAAACAAUAAUGGGCCGAGGCAAGGAUAUAGUGCUCAGUUAGUAAAGAGAUAUGUAGGAAGUGGAGCAGCGGGAUGCAAAUGGAAUUUUUGUGACUCACUGAAGGUGAGCAAAACUUCAGAAAAGAAAUUGCAACAGAAGUAGAGCCUCAUCACCAAGAGAACAUAGGGAUUUUAAGUUUUUUGUAGCCUGCACCGGAGACUGUAGAGUUAAGUUUCUACAUCUCAGUGUACAAUUUAACUAUAUCAGGUAAUUUACUAUGUAGUAAAUAUUUGCUUUUGCCAUUGCUGAUCAUGUCCUUCUCUCUGUGCUUGGAAGCAUAAACUUACUUAGCGAUCCUUUUUUGUUAGGCUAAACUUACAUCCUUCUGCUAAUAGUUUAGUGAUCUAAUGAUUAUAAUGAUUAUUCAAAAGG
RNAcentral lists this ribosomal RNA (7977 nucleotides) under Triticum aestivum (bread wheat). RNAcentral describes it as "partial small subunit ribosomal RNA". The record is from RNAcentral. Lineage: Eukaryota; Viridiplantae; Streptophyta; Magnoliopsida; Poales; Poaceae.